RNAcentral lists this ribosomal RNA (252 nucleotides) under uncultured Bacillota bacterium. RNAcentral describes it as "uncultured Firmicutes bacterium partial 16S ribosomal RNA". It matches the Rfam family "Bacterial small subunit ribosomal RNA", at positions 82 to 334 of the family's 1533-position model. Lineage: Bacteria; Bacillati; Bacillota. The record is from RNAcentral.
CGGGAGCGACUUAGCGGCGGACGGGUGAGUAACGCGUGGGUAACCUGCCCCAUACCGGGGGAUAACGGUUAGAAAUGACCGCUAAUACCGCUUAAGCGCACGAGGCCGCAUGGCCACGCGCGAAAAACUCCGGUGGUAUGGGAUGGGCCCGCGUCUGAUUAGCUAGUUGGCGGGGUAACGGCCCACCAAGGCGACGAUCAGUAGCCGACCUGAGAGGGUGGCCGGCCACAUUGGGACUGAGACACGGCCCAA